GAUGAACGCUGGCGGCGUGCCUAAUACAUGCAAGUCGAGCGAACGGACGAGAAGCUUGCUUCUCUGAUGUUAGCGGCGGACGGGUGAGUAACACGUGGAUAACCUACCUAUAAGACUGGGAUAACUUCGGGAAACCGGAGCUAAUACCGGAUAAUAUUUUGAACCGCAUGGUUCAAAAGUGAAAGACGGUCUUGCUGUCACUUAUAGAUGGAUCCGCGCUGCAUUAGCUAGUUGGUAAGGUAACGGCUUACCAAGGCAACGAUGCAUAGCCGACCUGAGAGGGUGAUCGGCCACACUGGAACUGAGACACGGUCCAGACUCCUACGGGAGGCAGCAGUAGGGAAUCUUCCGCAAUGGGCCAAAGCCUGACGGAGCAACGCCGCGUGAGUGAUGAAGGUCUUCGGAUCGUAAAACUCUGUUAUUAGGGAAGAACAUAUGUGUAAGUAACUGUGCACAUCUUGACGGUACCUAAUCAGAAAGCCACGGCUAACUACGUG
RNAcentral lists this ribosomal RNA (497 nucleotides) under uncultured bacterium. RNAcentral's name for it is "partial 16S ribosomal RNA". It matches the Rfam family "Bacterial small subunit ribosomal RNA", at positions 28 to 507 of the family's 1533-position model. The record is from RNAcentral.